AGCAAUGCAAAACUCGUGCACCGCAGGUGCCUUUACCCCACUUAUCUUCAGUCCCGCCAUUUGAUUGAUUUGAUCAGAGCACCUCCAUCUUCUUAGCCAAAACAAACUGUAUAAACCCCCAUGGCCACAGCUCUCUCCCUUACCGCCAUUUCCAACUUCCUCACCCCCUUCAAUCCCCCAAACCCUAACCCUAACCCUACCCUUCUCAAAUCCCGAACCCUUACUCUCACUCGCUCGUCCCUCACUGACCAAUCUCUCUCCGCCAAACAAAACCUCCUCGACCUCAUCUCGGACCAGGACCGAGGCCUCAAGACCCAGACCGACCCUUCAAAGCUUUCCGAGAUUAUCAAAGUCAUCGAUUCCAUGGCCGUGCUGGGCACUGAUAAAGUCACCACCGGUCCCUCGCUGUCCGCCACGUGGAGGCUGCUGUGGACAACGGAGAAAGAACAGCUCUUCAUCAUCAAGAACGCGUUUCUUUUCGGAACUCGAGCCGGAGAUGUUUUACAGGUUAUUGAUGUGGAGAAGGGUGUUCUGAACAAUGUAAUUACUUUUCCUCCUCAUGGGGUUUUCUUUGUGAGGUCUACUAUCGAAAUUGCUUCGCCUCAGAGAGUCAAUUUUAGGUUUACAAGUGCAGUUCUACGUGGGGAGAGUUGGGAACUUCCGUUACCACCAUUUGGGCAGGGGUGGUUUGAGUCUGUAUACCUCGAUGACGAGAUUCGAGUUGUGAAGGACAUUCGGGGAGACUAUUUAGUUGUGGAUCGAGCUCCUUAUAGUUGGAAAGAAUGAAGGCAAGACUUGUACAAUAUUGCGUCGAUUUUUUUUGGCACGUGUGUCAGCCACUUGGCCUCCACUUGAACAACUCUUGGCAAUCAUCUAUUGGGUAGUUCUCAUAAUACAUUUUUGCUGCACAACUGCUUCGAAGGAGCAUAGCUUCAAAUGAGAAAUGGCCUGUUAUGGAAAUACUACUUCAAUUAGUUCCUUUAAAGAGACAUCAAGUUCUAUUUUAGUUCAAAUCUGUAUACCUAGAUGAUGAUAUUCGAGUUGCAAAAGAUAUCCGUGGAGAUUAUUUAGUUGUUGAUCACGCGCCUUACGAAUGGACAGAAUGAGUUUUCUCAGUUGGAGUUCCUUGAACUCAAGACUUUGCCCUUUAACGCUGAUUUCCUUUCCUUGGAACUCAGGUUUCAUUCAGAUGGCACUUUUAACUCCUUGUAAUUAAUCAUGGAACUUCAUGGUUGGAAAGGGUUACUCUGUCGUGUAGAUAUUGUGUCUCUUCUCUGUAUAGUUCAUCAGAAUAUUGAUUUUAAGCUCUCGUCAUUUGUAUAUUGUCAACUUUUACUUAA
This is an RNA transcript of Camellia sinensis, 1340 nucleotides long. It is a transcript of the gene named Plastid-lipid associated protein PAP / fibrillin family protein, with no coding region annotated. The record is from RefSeq and is a predicted model, not a curated record. Lineage: Eukaryota; Viridiplantae; Streptophyta; Magnoliopsida; Ericales; Theaceae.